RNAcentral lists this ribosomal RNA (296 nucleotides) under Proteomonas sulcata. RNAcentral describes it as "partial Bacterial small subunit ribosomal RNA". It matches the Rfam family "Bacterial small subunit ribosomal RNA", at positions 1075 to 1392 of the family's 1533-position model. Lineage: Eukaryota; Cryptophyceae; Pyrenomonadales; Geminigeraceae. The record is from RNAcentral.
UUGGGUUAAGUCCCGCAACGAGCGCAACCCUCGCCGUUAGUUGCCAGCACGUUUGGGUGGGCACUCUAACGGGACUGCCGGUGUCAAACCGGAGGAAGGUGGGGAUGACGUCAAGUCAUCAUGGCCCUUACGCGCAGGGCUACACACGUGCUACAAUGGCAGUGACAAUGAGUUAAUCUCUAAAAGCUGUCUCAGUUCGAAUUGGGGUCUGCAACUCGACCCCAUGAAGUCGGAAUCGCUAGUAAUCGUGGAUCAGCAUGCCACGGUGAAUACGUUCCCGGGCCUUGUACACACCG